The submitters of this non-coding RNA (75 nucleotides) gave its source as unclassified sequences. The record is from Rfam.
GGGGAUGAACUUAGAGUCCCUGGUACGGGAGUGUUAAUAGUGAAGCUUUUGGCCGAGUUUCAUGGUUAGUGAAUC